UUUGCCUACUGUAUGAAUUUCAAAUCCUCACGCACUUCGAUAAAAAUGCAUGUUUUGCAUGUAUCAAUUGCGCUAUCAUUGCUUUUAUAUUUCCAAUCGUUUAUGAAAUUUCCAAUUCUUUUAGAUCGAAACUACUCGAAAAAAUUUAGACAAUUUUGAACAGUAUAGUCAGCGUACGAUUAGUUUCUCCUAGGCGUUUAUACCUUUCACCAUUUAUACCCUUAAAUGUAUCAAAAUAAAUCGAUUCCACGACUUUUACGAAGCAAUGUUAACUAAAAUACGUUGUUUCAAAUAAAGCAUCGCUUAUUCAUAAGGAUUAUAAAUUUUUUAUACAUUUGGGAAGAAUACGUUUCCUAGUUCGCAAUUGUGUUCAGAAUAUCACAAUUAUAAAAAUCUCAGAUUGCGAAAUAAAGCUUCAAUACGUAUGUAAUACGUACAUACGUCGUGCAUAGGUCUUUUCUAUCGAGGAACGGACUUUGAUUAACAAUGGAUAUAGGCGUGGCAAAUGAAACAGAACAGAUAGAAAAAUAUGAUAUUACGAAAUUGGUAAAAUACCCUAUCCGAAAGAUUUUGAUCUCUUGUUUUUUGCAAUAGCUAUAAUUUGUCGCUUUAUACGAAUUUUACGACAUGAUAAAUUUGAUAUAUUUUAUUUCUCAGAUAAUUACAAAUAUUCUUCAGUUAUGUCUUUUGCACUGAUAACAGCAGCUCAGCAACGAGAACACUUUAAUUCAGAAAUAAAGUUUGACAGAUGUACCAUAUACUGCAUUUCUCACGUACGACUUUGAAUAAUCCUACGUUGUUCGAACAUUUAAACUUGUUCACACGAGCUUCCAAGUUCGCUCGAUAAAUUUCCAAUCGAAUUAAUUUUCCAAGAUUGAACUGCUAAGAUUAAAAAUUUUUCAUUUUUAUAUUAUGAGUAUUUCUCGAUCACUUUUAUUAAAGCGUAUCGUUGAAAUGACCAGCAUUCUCGUCCUUUUUCUUUCUGUCUGUUAUACAACCUGAACUGGUACCCAGCAACUGGAUAACCAGGUCGUCGUAUAAUAGGAGUCCACCUAUUUUUCCCCACCACCUAUGAUUUUUUAUUCAACUAUAAUAGGAGUUCAUGUUUGCUCGUGACACAUUUGCUCUUAAAUACAUAAUAAUGUUGCAAACUAGUAUCGAAGCGUGAGAAUGUGUCAUAUAAUGCGCGACCCUUACUGUUUACUAUUUUAUUGUUAGACGUUCAUAUAAAUGGAUCGACACUCGGCAGCGGUUCAGAUUAUAGCUCAGAUAAAGUUCAGUGAAUUGGGAGCUAGUAAAAUUUCGUUCGUAUUUAUUUUAUGUCAAAUAAAAUUUAUAUAAAUGGAAUUCCAUCGUAGAAAAUCUUGGCCUAAAAUGUUCUUUGUAUCAAAUUAUUUGUAAUUCCAGAAAUUACCACGAUUGAACUUUUCAAAUAGAGAAGGUUUGUCACGAUAACAAGAACAGUUUCAUUGAACCUGAAGAUUGGAAGAGUAGCACUUUCACGAACGAAUUGAAGUUCAAUUGUUUCGAAAAUUAAGGGGGAAGCUACAUACAGUUGGUAGAAGGAACGACGUAUUAGAAAGUAAAACACGGUGUGACAGAAGCUGGUGAAGUCAGUUUGAUAAGUUCGCUAAGAUUAAGGAAACCGUGUAUGAUUUAAUAUAUAGAAUUAUUUCAGAUAAUAUUUUACUGUAUACAUAGGAAGACUGACGACAAAAGAUUGCGUCUUUCAACAUAGUAACGAUAAUAAUUAUCAAUAUAAAUAUAAUUAUCUGCUAACAUUUUUAUACACUUAAGGGUUUUAAACUCGAUGUUAGUUUUAUCUCAGAUUUAAAUAAAAUUGAGAGCAUAUACUUUGUUUUAAGAUCAAUUGAUGAUUAGUCAUGCUGAUGUCAAUGCACAGAAUACGGCUACAGAGUAUUAAUAAUAAUUUUGUAAAUAAAAUAUGUCAAAUUUAUGUCAUAAGAUAAAGUACAGAUUUCUGCUGUGAAAUGAAGUGGAUCGAAAUUUUCGAACAAUGUAAUUUAACAAUCUCAAAUCGUUUUCAAGAAAUGUAAAAUGAGAGAUUCAUAUAACUGGAAACUUUUGCUCGACACUGUACCUUUCAGUUUCAUCUCCAGUCGAGAAAUUUACUCUCAAACUCUGUCACAAAAUUGUUGUCAUAAAACUGUGUUCUAAAAAUCUCCAUUGAAAUGUAAAUUCUUCACUCUGCUUUCUCUAUAUACCGCUUCUUUCAUUGAUUUUUUCAUCACUUGAAACUUAAUAUGAAAAACUGAUAGAAUAUGUGCAAAAGACUGCGUACAUUUUUCCACAACUUUUUAUUUGUAAUUCGAUAAUCUAUAACAAAAUUAAGGGAAAGUAAUCGUAUAACGUGAACUCCAUAUCAGAAAUAUUAAUUCAAUCGUUUAUUUAUACCAAUUUACUUUAACCAAACAUUAUUUCCUCUAACAACAUGUUUUUUAUGUUUCUUUAUUCAAAAUAAAUUCUGCUAUAUAGUGUGCCCGGUCUAUCUCGAACCGCUCAAAUAUUUCGAAAAACAUGAAUCACGCGAAAGAAUAUUUCAGACAAAAAUUGCACUAUAUCGACAGCGAUAUACGUAUCUACUACACUCUUGUGUAUUCGACCUUGUCAUCACCUUGAAAUCUCCUGUGAAAGACUAUUGAGAUUAUAAUAGUAAUAUUUGAAACCAAUCCGAAAAUCUAUAUGGAGGUUACAAGAUAUUUAUUGUAAAUUUGCUGUUAAUGAAAAAUUAGUAUACGGCAUAAAUUGUAUACUGUCUAAAUAUACAAUUGAUGCUAAGGAUAUCUGUAUUGUAGCUUAUAAAUAUACUGAAUGUAAACUAAAUCACUGUAAUGAAAUUCUUUGGCGAUUCUUUACCUCCUUCUCUCUCUCUCUCUCUCUCUCUCUUUUGCGAGAUGUACAAAUAAUAAAUACAUAUCUUAUAACUUCUAUAUAAUUUUCCAGAUCUGUUUAAAAUUUUACUAGUAUAUAUAAUCACAUGUCUUGUUACAAUGCCAAUGAAUUUUCAAAAUAUUUUGUAUCAUAUAGAUCAUAUUCUAGAAAUGUUCGAAUAUUUUCCUGAGCCACUAUAUAUCGAGAUAAUAUUGUCAUUCUCGUUCCUUCUUGUAACAACCAGGUCCGUUUCGUUAUUGGUAUAAAAUAUUUCCAGCGAUCAAUAUUUGAACGAUGAAUUAAGCAUCGUUUUUUCCUAUGACACUAACAUUUAUAUUCUUCUUGUUCCUAAACGUAAUAAUAAUUAUUCAUAAUUAAACAUAAUAAUCGUAAACUUUUGCAAAGCAUAAUAUAAAUUCUUUCUUAUUUAUCAACUUUAAAUAUGAUGAUUUUUAAAUAACAAAUUAUGACGUAAAUUACAGGUUAUUCUAUUGUUCGAAAGUAUACAAUUUGUUCCGAAAAGAGCUGAUUGUAACUGAAAAUGAAUAUUUUGCCUCUCUUUUAAGUAAAUAUUACAGCCGAUUAUUGGAAUGGGUUUAUUCUUCUUUAAUUAUUAUUCAUGUUGUUCGUAUAAAAAUUUGUCUGAUGUUAUUAAGUCGAACAAAUGCAAUCUGACUUUAUGCGAUGCUUAUUUAUUAGAUAUUAAGUAUUCGUCGAAAACAUUAUUUAAAAAUAAUGUAUUCACAUUUGCACAUAGCUUUUUAAGAAGCAUCAACCUGCACGCACGCACACGCACAAGCACAAAACAUUUUUGUUUUGCACUUCGCCCUUCAUACUUGAUUUUCGUUACCUCUUCUCGGUAAAGUAACCGAUUUUAACAUAUAGGAACGGAUAAAAAGAUGAUUAUAAAUGACGAACAGUAUUGCCAAUGCAGUAUUGUUACAUACAUCGUGUUUUGGUUGUAAAAUUUAGACAAGAAACAGGUAUACAUAUGCAAUAUGUUUUAAUUUGGAAACAGUUCUACCGAGAAGAAAAUAAACAUUUCAUAGGCGCUCCACGAUCAUUCAUCAUCCUUCAUCAUCUUGUACGAGCGUCAAGUCAUAGAAACUCGAUACGCAACAAUGAGA
Long non-coding RNA from Bombus terrestris (buff-tailed bumblebee), 4019 nucleotides. RefSeq lists it as uncharacterized. The record is from RefSeq and is a predicted model, not a curated record. Lineage: Eukaryota; Metazoa; Arthropoda; Insecta; Hymenoptera; Apidae. The transcript has 2 exons.